Molecule: long non-coding RNA, 2852 nt
Filed under: Mus musculus (house mouse)
Lineage: Eukaryota; Metazoa; Chordata; Mammalia; Rodentia; Muridae
Description: long non-coding RNA chrX:142835515-142838367
Source: RNAcentral
ACCGUCACAUUUCUCAAAGGUACUCUCGAGCCAUUCCUGGCACUUAGGAGGUGUGUCUAUGGUUCCUGGAGGGCGUUUUCUGAGGGUUAGAUUUCUCUUGUGUAGCUCGACUCUGCUGAAGUCGACAUCACUGGUUUUGAGGCUUGAUAGUGUCCAAAACCCAUAUGUAGGUUGAAAGGGAACUCUCAGUGGACCUGAGGCCCAUAGGUUCAAGUGUUCUGAAGGGAGGCGCUUUGGUUGGAAGGUACUUGGUUAUAUGUGGACCACAAAGGGGACCAGUGUCUGUCUAUCUGCUGACUCCUUGUCAACAUCUAGUAGGAAGAGAUUUGCUUGGGAAUAGAAAUGUUUGUACCAUGAGCACCCCAACGUCUCGUGCCAGAUGCAGUAUUCAAUGUGAGUUUGUGGGUAUUAGGCCUCAGCUGAACUUCAGCAGCUCAGUGGCCAUGUUUCUAGACAAUGGACUUUCAGGGAAAGUAUCUGCAGGAAAGCACACGGGAACUCAGAGGAGCCAUUGUGGGACGGGCUGCCUGGCCAUGAGGUGAUCAAGUCUGAGGUACUGAAAGCAGGGAAGAACUCUAGGCUUGCUGCCCUUGAGCUCCUGUCCUGGCAUCUUCGCCUUCUGCUGUCUGUGAGGGCUAUGCUGAGCUUCCCUCUCUGACUCUUCAGGUACUGACUCGCCCUGCCCACUCAUAGAAGUUGGUGGAUGAAUAGCAUGCAGGGAAGCCUCCUUGGCCUGGGGCUUCUCUGUAAGGAGGCAUCAUAGGAGGGGAGUCCAUGAGGCCCGAAACAUGGAGCUGCUACCUGCAGCGGUGGAGGGCCUCAGCAGAGGGGACCAACUCCAGAAUGUCAUCGAGGUGGGAGUGCCACACAUACUCCUUUCCCAUCUGAGGCUUCAUGGUCCAGGUCGCCGGUAAUCUUGGGUUUCCCUGCAUUGGCCUGCCUUUGCUUUGGUGCCAGCUCGGUAGGUAUUUUCUGGUGCUCAGAGGAAGAGUGGAAAUCCAAAGCCAGGAUACCUGGCAUGGCCAAGCCAGAGUCAAACAUACGUGUCAGGAAAGAGGAAGUGAAGGGGACACGCAGGGGUCGAGGUUGGCUAAGGAAGCUGAAUGAAACAGAUUGUGGCUCCUUCAACAGACUCCAUAGGGAGGCUCAGCCUGGGUGUGAGAUGUUGGGGAGCAGGGGACCUGUGAGAUGUUGGGGAGCAGGGGACCUCUUCACUGUCUAUAUAUCGUGGUCCAAACCUACAUGGCAAGAGGUAACCUGCCUAGGCUCUUAGCACUUUGCUGUGGGAGUUGUCCCUAGGUCUGUCCAGAGCCUACCCUCUACUGCCUGUGGUACAGGGAUGGAGAAGACAGUAUGCCUUGACUUGGCAGCUCCUCCUCGGGCCUGUCGUUCCCUACCAGCAUGUGUGAGCUCUGGGCCUGGGCAAGAGUGCUCAGAGAGGUGCCUAUCAGGAAGGAACAAAGUCUCUUCAAGCCCUAAUUGUCCGUGGUCAGGGGGCUGCGCCAAUAAGUACAGUUGGCUAAGCCAGUGUCUCUGCUUAGAGGUCCUUCCUGCCCCCAGUAUUUGGUUUUGUGUAUAUAAGACUUGGCCCAGCAUCUUCUCAGAAGCCUUGCAGCAUGGUCUUCUGUCAUCCUGUGACAUGCUGUGGGAUUGGAGAGCCACCUCCUCCUCCUCUUUAAGUCUGUCUUCUGUCUUUCUGUGGACUUCUUUGUACCUGUGGGGGUGGUCUAUGGGGUCUAUGUGCACUUUAAUCUAUGGUGCCUCUGGUAGGGGUUUGCUAUAUGUGAUCAUAUGGGUGAUUCAGUGUUUCAUGAUGUAAUUACAAGUUUCUCAUGGAUAGCUCAGUGUCAACAGUGGAACUGGGGCUGGGUAAUGUCCUGAGCUGGGUGUUUAGGAGAUGGCACCGGGCCCCUUUUAACUCUCUGCCAAAUAGACUUCCCUGGGAAUUCUGGCACCUGUCCUCUUUGGGACAAGGGUUUCUUAAUGGUUUCUACUGUAAGGGAGGCCAGAAGCAGGGGGCGGGGGAGGACAAGACAUCGCUUCUGGUUUUUUGUGAGCCAGGAACAGGUUUCUCUGGCAACUUGGGAAGUCCCCAGACUAGGAAGGAGCAUCCUGUCUCCUCCUGGUCCAGCUGUCCCUGAGGUAAAAGUCCAUUAGAGGAGUCAGUCUUCCUCUGGUAUAUGCAGUGUGCUCACUGUGUGCAGGAAGACCAAGUGGCUUGCUGUUGCCCUCGUCUGUGACACUUUUGUACACUGAUUUGCCACUCAUGGCACUGAGCAGACAUCCAUCCCUACUCAGUGAAAAACCAGUCAAAAGCAAAAGUCCUUUGAAGCAGAAGUUGAUGCUUUGGAAAACUCUUGACUUAUUUUGGUGUCAACAUUAUGUUAGAUUUGAAAGCAUUCUUCGUGUAUUUGAUGUAAUUGUAGCGAAGAGAGCAGGAUUGAAUGGUGUUCAGUUAUUUCUUCUGGGACAUGGAAAGCCUGUCCCCCAUCCUUCUUCUGAAGCCGAGUCUGCUGUGUACUGUUACCCUCGAGGGAGCGCAGGGCUCUUCUGAGAGCCGGUCUCUGAACUGCUGCUUCUGGGACAUGCUUCCCCACCUCCUCCAGUCUACCUCCCCUCUUGGGGUGUUUUUGUAAUGUGCUUUCUCUGUUUUGUAAAAUCCCUUUGAUUGUAAUGAAGUGGGUUCUGCAGCCACCUUUUGGAAAUAAAUGGUCCUUAAAUUGUGUACUUAGCAUUUUGAAUCUUAGCCUCAGGUGUUUCUGCUGUUGAAGAUUCCUGAAUGAAAAGAAACCCUCCCCAUGGGACUUAUUGUUACAAUGUUUUCUUCAUUUACUGUUAUUAAAAGAUUUAUG